Molecule: ribosomal RNA, 301 nt
Filed under: uncultured bacterium
Lineage: Bacteria
Description: partial 16S ribosomal RNA
Rfam family: Bacterial small subunit ribosomal RNA
Source: RNAcentral
CAGUAGCCGCGGUAAUACGAAGGGGGCUAGCGUUGCUCGGAAUUACUGGGCGUAAAGGGAGCGUAGGCGGAUGUUUAAGUCAGAGGUGAAAGCCCAGGGCUCAACCUUGGAACUGCCUUUGAUACUGGACAUCUUGAGUGUGGGAGAGGUAAGCGGAACUCCGAGUGUAGAGGUGAAAUUCGUAGAUAUAUGGAGGAACACCAGUGGCGAAGGCGACUCUCUGGUCUGUAACUGACGCUGAGGAGCGAAAGCGUGGGGAGCGAACAGGAUUAGAUACCCGCGUAGUCCCUGUCUCUUAUAC